AGAGUUUGAUCAUGGCUCAGGAUGAACGCUGGCGACGUGGAUAAGGCAUGCAAGUCGAACGGUUGUAGCAAUACAACAGUGGCGAACGGGUUAGUAACACGUAGAUAUCAACCCUUUACUCGGGCAUAACCUGGAGAAAUCUAGGCUAAUUCCCGAUAGUCCGGAAACGGUAAAGAUUUUUCGGUAAAGGAUGAGUCUGCGUCCUAUCAGCUAGUUGGUGAGGUAAUGGCUCACCAAGGCAAUGACGGGUAGGCGGAGUGAGAGCUUGACCGCCAACAAUGGCACUGAGACACGGGCCAUACUCCUACGGGAGGCAGCAGUCGAGAAUAUUUGACAAUGGGCGAAAGCCUGAUCAAGCGACGUCGCGUGUGGGAUUAAGAUCUUCGGAUUGUAAACCACUUUUCUAGGGGAAGAACUUUGACUGUACCCUAGGAAUAAGGGGUGACUAAACUCGUGCCAGCAGUAGCGGUAAUACGAGUGCCCCAAGCGUUAUCCGGAUUUAUUGGGCGUAAAGGGUCUGUAGGUGGUUUGUUAAGUUUCUCGUUAAAGCUCCAGGGCUUAACCUUGGAAAAGCGGGAAAAACUGGCAAACUAGAGGAUGUUAGAGGCUGAUGGAACACUUGGUGAAGGGGUGGAAUCCGUUGAUAUCAAGUGGAACACCGAAAGCGAAAGCAAUCAGCUGGGACAGUCCUGACACUGAAAGACGAAAGCGUGGGGAGAGAAAAGGAUUAGAUACCCUUGUAUUCCACGCCUUAAACGAUGAAUACUAGCUAUUGCAAGUGUCGACCCUUGCAGUGGCGAAGCUAACGCGUUAAGUAUUCCGCCUGGGAAGUACGGCCGCAAGUGUGAAACUCAAAGGAAUUGACGGGGACCCGCACAAGCAGCGGAGCAUGUGGUUUAAUUCGAAGCAACGCGAAGAACCUUACCAGGUCUUGACAUCCUUCUGGAUAGUCCUUAGCCGGACUAGCCCUUCGGGGCAGAAGAGACAGGUGGUGCAUGGUUGUCGUCAGCUCGUGUCGUGAGAUGUUGGGUUAAGUCCCGCAACGAGCGCAACCCUUGUGUUUAGUUGCCAACAGGUAAAGCUGUGCACUCUAGACAGACUGCCGUGGAAAACACGGAGGAAGGUGGGGAUGACGUCAAAUCAUCAUGCCCCUUAUGAUCUGGGCUACACACGUGCUACAAUGGCCGGUACAACGGGCAGCGAAGGAGCGAUCCGGAGCGAAUCCUAAAAAGCCGGUCCCAGUUCGGAUUGCAGGCUGCAACUCGCCUGCAUGAAGUCGGAGUUGCUAGUAAUCGCGAAUCAGCAUGUCGCGGUGAAUGCGUUCCCGGGUCUUGUACUCACC
RNAcentral lists this ribosomal RNA (1342 nucleotides) under uncultured Microgenomates group bacterium. RNAcentral's name for it is "uncultured Microgenomates bacterium 16S ribosomal RNA". It matches the Rfam family "Bacterial small subunit ribosomal RNA". The record is from RNAcentral.